UGGGGAAUCUUGGACAAUGGGGGCAACCCUGAUCCAGCCAUGCCGCGUGAGUGAUGAAGGCCUUAGGGCGUAAGCAUCUUUCGUCCCUGUGAAGAUAAUGACGGUAGCAGGUAAAGAAACCCCGGCUAACUCCGUGCCAGCAGCCGCGGUAAUACGGAGGGGGUUAGCGUUGUUCGGAAUUACUGGGCGUAAAGCGCACGUAGGCGGACCAGAAAGUUGGGGGUGAAAUCCCGGGGGCUCAACCCCGGAACUGCCUCCAAAACUAUUGGUCUAGAGUUCGAGAGAGGUGAGUGGAAUUCCAAGUGUAGAGGUGAAAUUCGUAGAUAUUUGGAGGAACACCAGUGGCGAAGGCGGCUCACUGGCUCGAUACUGACGCUGAGGUGCGAAAGUGUGGGGAGCAAAACAGGAUUAGAUACCCUGGUAGUCCACACCGUAAAACGAUGAAUGCCAGUCGUCGGGUAGCAUGCUAUUCGGUGACACACCUAACGGAUUAAGCAUUCCGCCUGGGGAGUACGGUCGCAAGAUU
This 526-nucleotide ribosomal RNA is filed under the name uncultured bacterium. RNAcentral describes it as "bacterial SSU rRNA". It matches the Rfam family "Bacterial small subunit ribosomal RNA", at positions 355 to 895 of the family's 1533-position model. The record is from RNAcentral.